GUUUGUCAAUCAUCUGAUAUGUGUGCCACUGGGUACUAAGUCAGAGUGGUUGAUGCAGUCAGGGAGUAAUGGAACUCUGUGGUGCCAGGCAGCAAAGGUGUCCUCCAGGAUCUUUCAGCCCACACUGCCUGGGGGCUUUGGCGGCUUUGGAGGAAAGUCCUUCCCUGAGGCAAACGGGGUGCCCUGGUCUUCCACCUUGGGACCCAACCAAGAAUGUAGGUAUUUCUGACAGGCAGUUCGUUGUGGGGGUAGGUGCCGUGUUCGUGCAGCUCCUCAAACUCGGGCUGUGAUAGGAGCCGCUGUCUUGCAUCCAUGGGUCCCCCUGCUUCAUGCGGUAGGACCGGGGGCCCUUGGGUCCACAGGGGUUCAGAGUCGCCCUUGGGUGUAUUGAAUGGUGGGUGGUAGGAAAUACCUUUUGGGCUUUCGGCCCGAAGGAACAGUCUGCAUUCUCAUCGGCAACCUGUGUCCCAGCUUUAGCCUAUGUGGGAGCCCUGUUAGGUCGGCUAGGUCUGAGCUGGUUCUUCAUUUUGGUAGGCCUUCUGGGUGCUGUUUGCUGGCUCUGUUUCUGUGCACCCUGGCUCUCAUGCGUUACGUGUUGCUGCUUGUUGUGGGCCAGUUUGCAACAAAACGCUGCAAAUACUGCAUCCAGCCUGGUUUCAAGGUCAGCCUGUGCUGUCCGGUAGGGCGCAUGGUGGUUUGGGUCUUCACCGUGUCGUGGGUGCCACGGGGCCUUCAUUAGUGAAGCGCCUUGCUGCAAGGCUGUCUACUGAGGGUGGUAGAUGGCUUUCCCCAUCGGGGACCAGGAUAUUCCCCACCGGUCCAUAGGGGGGGCUGCAAGGCUAUCUUAGGCACUGUUUGCACACUGUGACACGAAGUAGGGGGAUCGGCCGCCUCCCCCAGGCCACGAGGCACGCUGGGCCGCAUGGUCAGAUUGCCGGACUUCACCGGUUAACGGCACGUUUCGGGUAUGCCCGUGUGCUUGUUUUUUGUCCCUAAUUGCCGGAGCUGUUAAGAGAGUGCGUCCAUCCAUCUUGGCGUUCAUGCCCUGCACCACCUAAAAUCUUUUUAAUGAGUGACAUGUCAUAUGUUUUAAGGUCAUUUAUGUUGUAAACUUUGGAACCAAGACAUGAUCAAUAUACCAGGGAUUAUAUACACAAACAAACUAAAUUUAGUUAUUUGCCAUACUGUUUGGUAUAAGGAUCAUAGGAUUAAACUUAUCUAUAUGUCCAAAGACUGUGGCUUAGUAGAGAAGUAAAACAAGAGAUUAAAAAUAAGAAAAGGGCAUUUAAAGCAUUUAAAUCAGACAAAUCAAAGGCAUCCUAUUUAAGAUAUAAAGAAGCCAAUAACGCUUGCAAAAAGGCAAUUAAAGUGGCUAAACUAGAAAAUGAGAAAUUGAUAGCUAAAGAAUGCAAAACCAACCCCCAAAUUUUUUUCAAGUACAUCAAUUCUAAAAAAACUAAAAAAUUAAAGUGUAGGUUCACUUGAAACAGAGUUGGGUUUGUUAGCUAAUGAGGACCAGGAAAAAGCAG
This is a non-coding RNA of Pelobates cultripes (western spadefoot toad), 1529 nucleotides long. NCBI's taxonomy places the organism in Eukaryota, Metazoa, Chordata, Amphibia, Anura, Pelobatidae. The record is from the annotation of a GenBank genome assembly.